GAUUAAUACCCGAUAGCAUAAUGAUUCCGCAUGGUUUCAUUAUUAAAGGAUUCCGGUAAAGGAUGGGGAUGCGUUCCAUUAGGUUGUUGGUGAGGUAACGGCUCACCAAGCCUUCGAUGGAUAGGGGUUCUGAGAGGAAGGUCCCCCCACAUUGGAACUGAGACACGGUCCAAACUCCUACGGGAGGCAGCAUG
This 194-nucleotide ribosomal RNA is filed under the name uncultured bacterium. RNAcentral describes it as "partial 16S ribosomal RNA". It matches the Rfam family "Bacterial small subunit ribosomal RNA", at positions 161 to 353 of the family's 1533-position model. The record is from RNAcentral.